This 536-nucleotide ribosomal RNA is filed under the name Bifidobacterium longum subsp. infantis. RNAcentral's name for it is "bacterial SSU rRNA". It matches the Rfam family "Bacterial small subunit ribosomal RNA", at positions 161 to 711 of the family's 1533-position model. The record is from RNAcentral. RNAcentral also lists the same sequence under 1 other name. Lineage: Bacteria; Bacillati; Actinomycetota; Actinomycetes; Bifidobacteriales; Bifidobacteriaceae.
UGGUAAUGCCGGAUGCUCCAGUUGAUCGCAUGGUCUUCUGGGAAAGCUUUCGCGGUAUGGGAUGGGGUCGCGUCCUAUCAGCUUGACGGCGGGGUAACGGCCCACCGUGGCUUCGACGGGUAGCCGGCCUGAGAGGGCGACCGGCCACAUUGGGACUGAGAUACGGCCCAGACUCCUACGGGAGGCAGCAGUGGGGAAUAUUGCACAAUGGGCGCAAGCCUGAUGCAGCGACGCCGCGUGAGGGAUGGAGGCCUUCGGGUUGUAAACCUCUUUUAUCGGGGAGCAAGCGAGAGUGAGUUUACCCGUUGAAUAAGCACCGGCUAACUACGUGCCAGCAGCCGCGGUAAUACGUAGGGUGCAAGCGUUAUCCGGAAUUAUUGGGCGUAAAGGGCUCGUAGGCGGUUCGUCGCGUCCGGUGUGAAAGUCCAUCGCUUAACGGUGGAUCCGCGCCGGGUACGGGCGGGCUUGAGUGCGGUAGGGGAGACUGGAAUUCCCGGUGUAACGGUGGAAUGUGUAGAUAUCGGGAAAGAACACCA